This 492-nucleotide ribosomal RNA is filed under the name uncultured bacterium. RNAcentral's name for it is "partial 16S ribosomal RNA". It matches the Rfam family "Bacterial small subunit ribosomal RNA", at positions 30 to 507 of the family's 1533-position model. The record is from RNAcentral.
AGUGAACGCUGGCGGUAGGCCUAACACAUGCAAGUCGAACGGCAGCACAGUAAGAGCUUGCUCUUACGGGUGGCGAGUGGCGGACGGGUGAGGAAUACAUCGGAAUCUACUUUUUCGUGGGGGAUAACGUAGGGAAACUUACGCUAAUACCGCAUACGACCUACGGGUGAAAGCAGGGGAUCUUCGGACCUUGCGCGAUUGAAUGAGCCGAUGUCGGAUUAGCUAGUUGGCGGGGUAAAGGCCCACCAAGGCGACGAUCCGUAGCUGGUCUGAGAGGAUGAUCGGCGAGACUGGAAGUGAGAGACGGUACAGACUCCGACGGGAGGCAGAAGUAGGGAAUCUUAGGCAAGGGGGGGAAGCUGGACGGAACAACGCUGCGUGAGUGAAAAAGGACUUCGGAUCGUAAAACCCUGUGAUGAGGGAAGAACAAAAGUAGAAGGAACUAUGAACGUCGUGACGGUACCGAAGGAGAAAGCCACGGCUAACUACGUG